UACAGAGGGUGCAAGCGUUGUUCGGAAUUAUUGGGCGUAAAGCGCGUGUAGGCGGCUUUGCAAGUCGGGUGUGAAAGCCCUCAGCUUAACUGAGGAAGUGCGCCCGAAACUGCAGAGCUUGAGUACCGGAGAGGAUGGUGGAAUUCCCCAAGUAGAGGUGAAAUUCGUAGAUAUGGGGAGGAACACCGGUGGCGAAGGCGACCAUCUGGACGAUACGUGACGCUGAGACGCGAAAGCGUGGGUAGCAAACAGG
This 253-nucleotide ribosomal RNA is filed under the name uncultured bacterium. RNAcentral's name for it is "partial 16S ribosomal RNA". It matches the Rfam family "Bacterial small subunit ribosomal RNA", at positions 524 to 776 of the family's 1533-position model. The record is from RNAcentral.